Molecule: unclassified non-coding RNA, 211 nt
Filed under: plant metagenome
Description: partial contains small subunit ribosomal RNA, internal transcribed spacer 1, and 5.8S ribosomal RNA
Source: RNAcentral
UUUCCGUAGGUGAACCUGCGGAAGGAUCAUUCAUAAUAAAGUGUUUUAUGGCACUUUUUAAAAAUCCAUAUCUACCUUGUGUGCAAUGUUAGAUCUCGUCAAUCUUGGCGAGAUUUUUAUACAUCAACUCAUUCUUUAACUAAUUUGUCUGAAAAAUAUUAUGAAUACUUAAUUCAAAAUACAACUUUCAACAACGGAUCUCUUGGCUCUC